GCCCUUGCGUUUAGACGCAUCCAUCCCUAGCUACAUAGCGUCACUUCGGUGACUAUGAUGGUAGAUUUUCAGGUGAAAUAGACUCGACGGACCCGGAGGGCAGUACUCCGGCGCCUCCACCAUCAGUAGCGGUUUACAUCCGCUGUUGAUGAUGGGGGCGAAACAGGAUCGACGUGUGUAGUAAAGAUCUGAUUGCUAUCCGGCGUGAUUGAGCCGUUAAACCGAUCAUUUUCACAAGUGCCAACGAUAACGAGGUACUCGCUGUUGCUGCGUAAUGAAAACCCUCACGGGUAGACAUUACAAAGUAAAAGCGCGGUUGGGCUGCACCGGGCAACAGAAGCAGAUUCCAGCGGUUUGGGGAGCACCGGGCAACAGAAGCUCCCUAUU
Molecule: non-coding RNA, 387 nt
Organism: Zymomonas mobilis subsp. pomaceae ATCC 29192
Lineage: Bacteria; Pseudomonadati; Pseudomonadota; Alphaproteobacteria; Sphingomonadales; Zymomonadaceae
Source: Rfam